CAACAUUUUCAUUUUGGGGUGGAGUAACCCUUUAAUGGAUAAAGUCAAUCGGGAUUUGAGUUUAGACAUAACAGUUUCAUCUCUGAUUCUGUGCUGUAUGUAAACAGGUAGACACUCCCUGGAUAAAACACUGGAUCUCCACACAUAAUUUCUCAUCUAGAAGUAAUUCAGCAUACAUCAUACCUGGGAGUCGUUUAGUCACUGUGGGUGGAGUUUUCCAAGUAGGAAACUGGAAUCUGCAGAACAGUUCUGUGGACCAUAAAAACAUCUGGGAAGCUGCCUGCAAGCUUGUGCCCAGUGUACAGCAUGCGCAGCUAGUAGAGAACUGGAGUGGUCUCAGACCCGAACGCAGCAAAGUUAGACUGGAGAGAGACCAAACGAUCUGGACCAACCUUUGAGGUCAUUCGUAAUUAUGGAUAUGGAGGUUUUGGACUGACCAUCCAUCGUGGAUGUGCUGACGAAGCUGCUCAUCUCUUUAAUCAGAUUCUUGAGCAGAAAGGCCUGCUAGCACACUCUAAAUCACGUCUCUAAAAGAUUAUCUGGACAAUGUUAGCCAUAAAUUCAUCAGGCAUCAGCAAUAUUCUCCUUAAACCCAUAACCAUAUCAUACUGAUUCCAAAAGGAACUCAUGGAUUUCAUGAGUUUAGGAAUGUAUUCUAAACUACUGGAAUGUAAAUGUUCAUAUAUUAAUUUUUAUUACUCUUUUAUAGAGUUUUGAAAUAAAAGAUAACACAUAACAGAACUGAUUUUUCAGAAUGUUGCUCAAAUGUACAAUAAAGAAUCAAAUGCUGACAUGUUUUAUUUAUGCUUUUAUCUAAUGCUUUUUUAAAUUAAGCUUUAUUGUUAUCAUACAUAUGUACAUCACAUGUAGUGGCAAGGGAUCCCAUCCCCACUCUUUGACUGUCUGAACACAAUAUUCAAAGCAGUGGUGUUCUGAA
This is a long non-coding RNA of Cyprinus carpio (common carp), 937 nucleotides long. RefSeq lists it as uncharacterized. The record is from RefSeq and is a predicted model, not a curated record. Lineage: Eukaryota; Metazoa; Chordata; Actinopteri; Cypriniformes; Cyprinidae. The transcript has 4 exons.